This 463-nucleotide ribosomal RNA is filed under the name Ralstonia pickettii. RNAcentral describes it as "bacterial SSU rRNA". It matches the Rfam family "Bacterial small subunit ribosomal RNA", at positions 61 to 514 of the family's 1533-position model. Lineage: Bacteria; Pseudomonadati; Pseudomonadota; Betaproteobacteria; Burkholderiales; Burkholderiaceae. The record is from RNAcentral.
GUCGACGGCAGCAUGAUCUAGCUUGCUAGAUUGAUGGCGAGUGGCGAACGGGUGAGUAAUACAUCGGAACGUGCCCUGUAGUGGGGGAUAACUAGUCGAAAGAUUAGCUAAUACCGCAUACGACCUGAGGGUGAAAGUGGGGGACCGCAAGGCCUCAUGCUAUAGGAGCGGCCGAUGUCUGAUUAGCUAGUUGGUGGGGUAAAGGCCCACCAAGGCGACGAUCAGUAGCUGGUCUGAGAGGACGAUCAGCCACACUGGGACUGAGACACGGCCCAGACUCCUACGGGAGGCAGCAGUGGGGAAUUUUGGACAAUGGGCGAAAGCCUGAUCCAGCAAUGCCGCGUGUGUGAAGAAGGCCUUCGGGUUGUAAAGCACUUUUGUCCGGAAAGAAAUGGCUCUGGUUAAUACCUGGGGUCGAUGACGGUACCGGAAGAAUAAGGACCGGCUAACUACGUGCCAGCAG